Long non-coding RNA from Helianthus annuus (common sunflower), 234 nucleotides. RefSeq lists it as uncharacterized. The transcript is spliced from 2 exons. NCBI's taxonomy places the organism in Eukaryota, Viridiplantae, Streptophyta, Magnoliopsida, Asterales, Asteraceae. The record is from RefSeq and is a predicted model, not a curated record.
GCGAGAUGGUGCUUCUUAAAAACUACAGCUCCUUAAAUUUUGCAGGUAUCAUCAAGAUAUUAAAAAAGUAUGACAAACAAACGGGUGGAUUACUGCGUGUACAUUUCACACAACUUGCUCUUCGUCAACCAUUUUUCACAACGGAACCUCUUACAAGAUUAGUCCACGAGUGUGAAGAGAAUCUAGACCUCCUCUUCCCUUUAGAAGCGGAAGUAGCUGAAUAUUCUAGUAAUA